RNAcentral lists this ribosomal RNA (376 nucleotides) under uncultured bacterium. RNAcentral describes it as "bacterial SSU rRNA". It matches the Rfam family "Bacterial small subunit ribosomal RNA", at positions 523 to 897 of the family's 1533-position model. The record is from RNAcentral.
AUACGUAGGGGGCAAGCGUUAUCCGGAUUUACUGGGUGUAAAGGGAGUGUAGGUGGCAUGGCAAGUCAGAAGUGAAAGCCCGGGGCUCAACCCCGGGACUGCUUUUGAAACUGCCAAGCUAGAGUGCAGGAGAGGUAAGUGGAAUUCCUAGUGUAGCGGUGAAAUGCGUAGAUAUUAGGAGGAACACCAGUGGCGAAGGCGGCUUACUGGACUGUAACUGACACUGAGGCUCGAAAGCGUGGGGAGCAAACAGGAUUAGAUACCCUGGUAGUCCACGCUGUAAACGAUGAAUACUAGAUGUUGGGGCGCAUAAGCGCUUCAGUGUCGAAGCUAACGCGAUAAGUAUUCCACCUGGGGAGUACGUUCGCAAGAAUGA